CUCUGUGUGGCUUAGAUGGUAAAGAAUCUGCCUGCAAUGCAGGAGACCUGAGUUUGAUCCUGAGUCCAGAAA
This 72-nucleotide transfer RNA is filed under the name Ovis aries (sheep). It matches the Rfam family "tRNA". From Rfam's summary of the family: Transfer RNA (tRNA) molecules are approximately 80 nucleotides in length. Lineage: Eukaryota; Metazoa; Chordata; Mammalia; Artiodactyla; Bovidae. The record is from Rfam by way of RNAcentral.